GCAGCUAUUCCCAACCCCAGAACCUUUGCUGUCUUGGAACAGAUCACCACUGCAAGAGGGGAAGUUGCUACUGUGAUGAAUUCUGCCAUGUGGUACCAGACUGCUACCCAGACCACAGUGUCCUCUGCAACCCUCCUUCUCAGAUGACCAAGAUGGUGCUGCAGAUGGUGCUGAGGAUGGAGAACCCACCAAGCCC
RNAcentral lists this long non-coding RNA (196 nucleotides) under Pan troglodytes (chimpanzee). RNAcentral describes it as "lincRNA". The record is from RNAcentral. Lineage: Eukaryota; Metazoa; Chordata; Mammalia; Primates; Hominidae.